RNAcentral lists this transfer RNA (76 nucleotides) under Candidatus Omnitrophota bacterium. RNAcentral describes it as "Candidatus Omnitrophica bacterium tRNA-Glu". It matches the Rfam family "tRNA". From Rfam's summary of the family: Transfer RNA (tRNA) molecules are approximately 80 nucleotides in length. Their secondary structure includes four short double-helical elements and three loops (D, anti-codon, and T loops). Lineage: Bacteria; Pseudomonadati; Candidatus Omnitrophota. The record is from RNAcentral.
GCCCCCAUCGUCUAGCGGCCUAGGACAUGGGCCUUUCGAGCCUAUGGCACCGGUUCAAAUCCGGUUGGGGGCGCCA